Molecule: non-coding RNA, 1567 nt
Organism: Gasterosteus aculeatus aculeatus (three-spined stickleback)
Lineage: Eukaryota; Metazoa; Chordata; Actinopteri; Perciformes; Gasterosteidae
Source: RefSeq, a predicted model, not a curated record
CUCUAUAUUUUCUGACGGUAUUAUCCUCCAUGAGCAGCAGAGCUCCUGGGGGGUCGAGGCAGUGGCUGCUGGCUCUCUGCGUAACGCACUGCUACAGUUCAACUGAUCACCAUCUACUUCUACGGGAGACGGACCUCCCAUCACAAGGACAACAAGCCACGGCUGCUUUAAAUGGAAACCAGCUAUAUGAAGCAGUUACAAUGGGAGGGAGAGGUCGCGGGGCCCCUCAGCCGGCAGGCCCCCCUGCAGUGAUGUGCAGCUGCUAGGAGGCACAAGAGGGAGCGGGAUGAGGGACCAGCGAUGGAGUGUCCGGAGCUGGCAGCUGAUGCGGCCCUGAUGGAAAGCGGUCCUCUGCGGUUGGGGCGGGAGCCGCCAGGCAGGCUGGAGGAACUGGUUGCUGAGCUACCAUCUAGUGCCCGCUGCUGCUGCUGCUCUCGGUCUCUUCUGGCCAGAGCUUGGGCCUCUGUGGGGGCUACAAGGGUCAAGAGCAGGAGUAGAUGGAGGGUGGUUAUGAAGGAUGGGGAUAGGGGCUGGGGAGUGAAAGUGAAAGUGAUGCAGAGAAUAAUUUCACCACAGGGAUUAAUAAACAUCUUGUGGGAUACGCACCUUGAAAUUGCCGGUACAGAUGGUUUAUAUCGCCCCCUCUUUGGCUUCAAAUUAGCGGCAGCUCUGCAACCGGACGUCUUCUCCGUAAAUGCCCCAGGAGAACAGGCCUCACACCGGCCAGUGGUUCACUGAGCGCAACCAGCUGAUCGCAAGAAUAAACCAGGCCAGUAGUCUACCUAACAGAACAUGUCCCCUUAUUGUAAAUGAUUUACUUUUGUUUUAUUUUAAAUAGCGUCAUGGAGCCAGAAUAGAGUCUUUUAAACACUGUAACAUUUUGCAUUUCAUGUUCAAGUUAAAAUAAAAACUUUAAGCUACUGGGACAAACUGUUUGUGAUCAGUGGAAGCGACCGACUGAACUCUCAUGUAUAAGAUAAGGUUGGAUAAGAUACUAUAAGAUGAUAAGAUUUAUUAGUCCCACGACGAGGAAAUACCCUGGAGUGUAAAGAAGUAUGAAUACACGUUGAUUGGUGGAGUUUCAGCCCUGGUGAGCUCGUUAUUAGACAUCAUAUCGAUUGUCUUAUAAAAAAUAGAAAUAUUUGUAUUAUUGAAAUCAUCUUUUUUUUCCUCUUAGUACUGUUUUAUAGUAUGGUAUUUUAUUAUGGUAAUAAUGUAUACACUUAUGCAAGUUUAUCUUCUUUGACAACGGUAUAUCCACAAUACUAUGCUGUCUUUUGUUUUGUUGCAGUUGGCAUGCUAUAUAUUAUUCUUUCUUCUACAAAGUAGCAUUGAACACAGAGAAGACACAUUUUGUGUGAUUAUUGCCGGAUACACAAUGUGCUGUUUGUUUUCAUUUUAUUGAAUUUGUUAAAUGGUUUAUUUUUUUCCCUCUUUGUAUGCGGAGAACAAAGUGGGAAACCAUGUACACAUAAGCAUAUGUCACCAAUAAAUCCGAUUCAGAUUCUAAUGAUGAUUUGGGAUUGCAACAUGAAUUAUGAGGUUGUAUUAAAUGAAAUAUAAUCAA